GCAUUUGGCGGGAUCUGUGUCUCUCGCUGGUGCUGGCACAGGAGCUUGGGAUCUGUCUCCUCUUUCGCCUCCUGCACCUUGAGAGCCCUGGGCUACUCUGUCACAGCCCCUGUUGCCCUGCGAUCUGUAGGUCCUUGGGGACGCAUAGUUAAGGUGCCAGGACAUCCUGGAAGCUGGGAAAUGAUUUCUUCCAGACCAUGGCUGGAGAAGGAAAGAAGGUGUGUUUUGCCUGAUUCAGGGACUAUAGAGAGAACCAAGUUCUGCAGGCCUGUCAUCUAAGUCUCAGGGCGGGGAGACCUUCCUUCCCCACGGGUUUGAGGCUAUGGCUAAGUGGUGAGCCUUGGUGAGACGCAGAAAGGAUCCAUCCCAGGCACUUGGCUAGAGGCAGGUUCCUGGGAUCUGAUAAAACUGAUAUUGGAGACGCUGGAGCUGAUCCGACAUAGCAAUGGUGUUGACUCCCUCCUUAUGUGUGGAUUGCUCAGCGGGGGAACUUGACUGUCCAACAUGCUGGGUGCAAGAACAGCAGAAAGGGGACUUUUAAGAUGUGGCAAACAUGAGGCCUCUUCGGAGAGGACUUUGGAAACCAGGCCUUGCUUGGCUGAAUGCUAUCCCAGUGAUUGUACGUGCCCUGUUUGCUGAAUCUACUCAUCCUUAAGGGUACAUUUGCUUCCAGGUAACAUGUUUGUGACUAAUACUACAAUGUGCAUAUAUCUAUUCCAUGUUCUGCUUUGUCUGUUUGGGAUAUUUUUCAUACACUGAUUCAGUACCAUGUGUAUUCCCUUGCUUUUGUUGUCUCAUCCGUUGAUGUUACGUCCCCCAAAUUAUUGCCACGACCAGUUGUCAUGAAGCUUCACCCUUCUGUAUUGUGCUAGGAAUUUUACAGCUAUAGGUUUUACAUUAUAGUCUUCAUUCAUUUUUUAAAAUUGACACAUGUAAUUGUGCAUAUUUUGGGGAAACAAUUAUAUAUAUAUGUUGUAUAACAAUAAAAAUCAGAGUACUUCUAUA
Molecule: long non-coding RNA, 1005 nt
Organism: Homo sapiens (human)
Lineage: Eukaryota; Metazoa; Chordata; Mammalia; Primates; Hominidae
Exons: 5
Source: RefSeq, marked validated